Molecule: long non-coding RNA, 3500 nt
Organism: Drosophila mojavensis
Lineage: Eukaryota; Metazoa; Arthropoda; Insecta; Diptera; Drosophilidae
Exons: 2
Source: RefSeq, a predicted model, not a curated record
UGAUGUGGAUUAGAGUCGCCACAAGUCCGCUGCUCCCCGCUGCCUCCGGCACCUGCGGCACAUAAUUUGCUUUUAAUUUUUGUAUAUUUGCUGCGAUGGCAAAUCAACAAAAUGAAAAAAUCUAAAAAUGAAAAUUUCAACAUAUCAAAGCUCGGCUGGAGUGGAAAGAAAAACCCAAACCAGAAACCAGAAAAAAUAAAAACGUUUUAAGCACGCGCCCCUUCGCAACUGAAGUAGAAAUGCGUGCAAGGCUCCCAAAAUUUAAUAAUAAUUCGCUGCAGACGCAAUACCCUUAAGGAAAUGUAUAGGAAAACAAAAGCAAUAGGAUUUAUUUAUGGAAUUGUCUAGAAUAAAAAAUGAAUGGAAGACAAAAAGGGGCAUGAUAUAAUACCUGAACAAAUAUGUCCUUAAAAUAAGACAUAGGUUAGAGUAAGGUUUUAUUUUUAGAGCUUUCUAGAAAGCAAAAUGAAUAGAAUACAAAGAGAGUGAUAACAUUAUCAAUAGAUAUAAUAGCUAAGCAAAAAAUGAUAUAUGUAAAGCAAUAAUUAUAUUCUUGUCACAAUUUAUUUUUAGAACUUCAUAAUUAGAAAUGAAUAUAUACAGCAUGAUUUCAAUAUCAAUAAUAAUACAUAAAGAAAUAAGUAUUUUAAGCAACACUUAAAUCAAAGCAAGAAUAUUUUUCUCCAUAAUCAGAUGUGAACAGAAUACAAAGAGCAUAAUGAAAGUAGUUAAAUAUCUUGAUCAAAAGUAAAAUAAGCGAAGGAAAGGAAAGGUAACUUUGAUCAAAUCUCCUUCUGUACACACGAAUACACUCGCCAUGGCACAGUCCUAAUGCUCUCGUCAAGGGUAUUACCAAGAGGAAGCAAAGUUGUGUUCUAUUCAAAAGCGAAAAAGCUGGCAGAAAUAUGGAAUGAAAUGAAAUGUCGCAGAAAUGGAAAGAAUUGUUGGGAAAUGCAUACGCGGACAAUUUUUUAAUGCGAAGGGAGGUAACAUGAAACGCUUAAUGGCGUUCGUUGGCUGGCAAUAAGCAGGCGAAGAUGCCACAAAAUGUUUGCCGGGCCAAAGGAUAAGGGACAAAACAGCCAACAGGAGCAGUGAAGCAAAAGUGAAAUGCGCUUGCAGCAGCUUAAAUUUAUAUGACUGAAUGUAUGUAUGUAUGUGUGUGUGGGUGGGUGGGUAAGUGUGUGAGUGCAGUGAAGCGUAAGAAUCCUGGCAACAAUAUCAAUAUGCGUCUCUUGUGCUGCGUUUGCUACGUAAAGCAACGCCGCUGGCAUUGUCAGCGGAGACCCAAACCCAUGCGCCCCUCGCUCCGCGCUCCACUCUUGACGCCUUGGGCCACCGCUCCCUGCUGACAAUUGUUUGCCAGCGGAAGUUGAUUUUCUGGCAGAGCGGAAGUGCUGAAGCGCUGGAAAAUGCCGCGGCAACUGAACGAGACUCUGCUGAGCGGGACAACACUUUGAAUUUCAUAUUCGUUCAAUUUUUUCAUUUUUUCUGUUUUGCUUUUUUUUUUUUGUUUGCUUUGACGCAUAAAUUUUCAUCUAACUGACACAAGCAUCAGGCAAAUGCGUACAAAUGCGCACCACACAUGUGUGCAUACAAACAAAUAUGUCUUUGUAUGUAUGUCCGUGCAUACAUACUCACACGCGCACACACAUGUUGUGGCAACAUUCUGCUAAUGCCUUAGCAUUGCGUAUCAAAGGCACCUGGACUGGAGCCACUGCCGCAGACGGAGCCCAAUUAACUCUAAUGCGUGUUCGCUGCCGGCCUUAAAGAUUUUGUUGUUUUCUGUUUUUUGCCUUCUCUGCUCUCUACCUUUAAUUUCUGCGAGGAUCGGCUCGUAUAGCCGCUGGGCAAACGCCGAUGAUCGUUGUCAAAAAAAAAAUAAAGAAUGAAGAGUCGUUCAACAAUAACAAGAAUAACAGCAAAAGAACAAUGUGCGAUCCUGCUUUGCUCAAUCUUUGUCUGCGAUCGAGUUCAAAGCAACAGCAGCAAUGCAAGAUCAUUGCUGUCUCGGCCGAUGCUGCUGCGAGCGUCGCAGCGCUGCUUGUAGCGGCAGCAGCGCCAACGGCAGCGGUACCUUGACUUUUGACGUUGUUCCGUAUUGCAAUAGCCUGAACAAAACACAAUAAAGUAAUGUCUUACUUUAGUAUAUAGUCACACUGACACACACACACGUAAGCUCCCACACACAAAUAAACACACACACACAUUCAGGGAAAACAGAUUCUAUUUUAAUUACGCAGGCGGCCUUCCGAAUGAAGACCAUUGACAAUUGACGAUUUGCGUUUCGCUUGAUUUUGUUGCUGUUUUCGUUUUGUUUAAUGAAAAGCGGAAAACUGACAACGACUCAGUUAGCGAUAGAUAGUGGAAUCAAACACCCAUCGUGCGAAGAGCCGGCUGCGGCUGAUUUUAGUUGAGGGGGGUCAAAAAGGUGUAGAGGUGGUGAGGCGGAGGUGUGGCAUGCAACGUACAGUGCAGUGCACACACGGGCGCAGCCGCGUGCCGUUUGUUAUUUAUAGCAAUUUGAUGCCGUUGCCUCUUCUCUGCCGCAACGGCAACAGCAACAGCAACAGCAGCAACAGCAGCAUCAACAGUAACUGCGGCGUGUUUGUCGUCGUCUGCUCAAAGUGAACGCAAAAACGAAACGCGGGGCUAACAACAGCAGCCGCUGCUGAUAAGGAAAACGCAUAGAACGCGAUCGAACGGCGAGUGCAAAGAUCGCGACAAAACUGAUCCAUUCAUUUCAAUGCUCGACCGACGGACUGUCUAAUAUAAUAGAUUAGCGACUAGGAAUUAUAUGAACUCAACAUGUGCAGUGCACUAGAUUGUAUUCACUCUUGGCACCACACACACUCCGGAUCCUUUUGGACUUUAUGCGAACACUAAUUCUGCUUCAGAUCAAACAAGUUUGUUGCUAUUAUUCUUUCGUUCGCGUUAUUUAGCCGCAACAAUGGAAUACACGUCCGUUCACGACGAAAGGUUCUCGCGGUUUGAUUGGAGAGAUUCAAACAUAAACAGAGCCAGCGUUUCAAUUGCUGCACAGCUGUGCCUAGCAGAGAGCGAGCCAGAAAGAGAGGGAGAAAGAAGGAAAGGGAUAAAGCGCAUGUGCCUAGACAAUUGCUAACAGCUGCUUUUGAAAAUGUACAACGUAUAACGAAAAUUCAAAUUCAUAUCAUUGUCAGGUUGUCAUAUCCUUUAGAAACUAAGUAUUAUUUCUUAUAAAUUAACUAUAAACUAUUAUUCACUAUUUAAUAUUAUUUAAUAUUUCAUAAAAAUAUUCAAGAAACUAGAAUUGCAUCGAAAUAACUUUGAUUUAAACCGAAAUUUUUAAAUGAUUAAUGAAAUUUUAAUUGACAGAAACUUCUUGUGCAGAAACUUCCUUAAAGUAACAAUUGUUUAUAUCACAUAAUGAAUUCAUAGAUUUCAUUGUGCCAGACAAAUAUAUUAUGUAGGUUUUGUAAAUGUAAAUAAAAAUAUAAUAGAAUAUCUAGUUUCACACA